AGCCGGCGGCGGUUCGGCACCGAAACCGGAUAGACCUCGGUGUCACCGGCACGGAGGGAGGCUGCAGGCCCGGCUCCCGCUGCAAGCAGGAGCGCACUCGGCAGACACUUGGCUACUGAGAUGAAGUUUGUCAUACAACAGGAUACAACAGUGCUCAAUGUACUUCCUGCCCCCAGAAGCAUCUGCAGCCUCCAGGGAGCAGAGACACAAGAGAGAACCUGGUUCAGGAAGCAUACCAUGCCUACGUGGGAGCUAGAGGAACAGUUUGCUUGCUGGCUUUGAAAAGAUGACUGCUCAGCAGGGAAGGUGGGACAGAAAGAAUGAAAUUUGGAACCUGCAGGGCAGCCUGCUUCUGGUGAAAUAUCUCUGUACUGGUAUCUUCUUGUAACAAAAAGAUGGAAGUACAAAAUGGAGGGACAGGAAGUCAUUUGCAGGCCUUAUGUAAUAUGCAUCUCUGUGAAGAGGUGCAUGCCAGAGGAUUCCUCUACCCACACAGCUCUCCACCAUGCAGGCAUUCCUCUGCAGCCUUAUCUUUGCAUAACUCAAGCAUAGACCUCCUACAGGAUCAUCUCCCACCUCUAAUGUGCAUCUGUUCGUUCUCUGCCUGUCAAGCCUCUUCAGAAUUUAAAAGACAUUGCAAGAGAUAGAAGAACAAGCUUUCAAGUUUGAGUGCACCAGAUCAGGAGAAAUCCAAUAAGAAAUGUGAAUUUAUAUUGCCUUACUUAUUCCUCUUUUUUAUUUUUCCAGAGUGGAAAAGAGAAAGGAGAACUGCUGUCUAAGGAACUGUUGCUUGCGAUAUAUUUCUCCAUGGCAAUAAAAAUAUCCGCAAGGCAGAGGUACAAUUCUCUUUUUAGACCUGACACCUCCAAAGCCUGAUAUAUGUGGCUGAGUUAGAUGAAAAGGUAUUAGGUUUUUUAUUAGAUUAUGAUGCAAGCUCAAGCUGGCUAGGCUCAUCAGACAAUAAAUCUAGUGCAAGUAUGUGUGGCCAAAUUCUACUCUCAUAAUUGUUGCUCUCUGUGGUCAGUAUUACUUGCUACUGUGAUACUGGCUCUCUUCUGCUAGUUGUGAGAAGGGCAUAGAUUAUUUACAAUGUAAACAGUCGCUGACAUAGAAUAAUUCUGAUUGUGCUUCCACAUUAAAUCAGGAAUAAUGCUACUAAAGGCGAAGCAGUUAUUCUUCCUUACACAAUACAUGAAUCCAAAUUUAGGCCUUUAUCACAAGGCUAAGGUUUGAUAGGUAUAGCAUGGAUAUUUAUGCAUGGCUUUUUACCAUCGAUGACUUCUUGUUUCAGAAAUAACCUUUUUUUUGAUCCUUUCUGAUAGCUGCAUGUUGUGUUAAAGUAAAUCAAACUGUUAUGGAGAUCUUCUAUUGACAUUAGCAGGGACUGCACAAGAAUUGGGUGGCUGAGAACUGCACUUUUCUGUGCUUUUUCCAUUCCAGACAGUGACAUUCUCAUGAACAGUAGGAAGCUCUCUUCACAGUAGGUCAUCCUCAUUCUAAACUUGCUCCAAAUGAUACAGCUGCUCAGCAGUGAAACAGGCUCCCCAAAGGGACAAAUGUAAACCCAGGCUAAGCUCACAGAUGUUCUAUGGCAGAGUAUCUGCUGUGCAUUAUAACACACAAAAUAUAUUGCUGUGAUUUUUUUAAAGGUCGCAAUAACUCAAGACAUCCCACAAAAAGAAUAAAAGCUCACCUGAAACGAUGGCAUGUUUGAGAAAAUGAAAACUGUCACAUCAUAAACUAAGUUCUUCCUUGUAGUCAAUUUUUGGAUAAGCAUCUCAAAAGAUACUGCAGCAGAGCCAUAAAUCCAGAUGCCAGUUCUCAAGCCAAGCUUUCAAAAAUUCCAAUCUUUGUGAAUGUAUAUUAAUCUGAAUUCAGUGCUGAGAUAAGCAACUCCUGAUGAAAGCAGCAGGAUAUACAUGAGACAAUAAAGAAAUAUUUUCCAAUAUAUUGCUAUGUCUGCACUACCUUUUCAGAGUUUGUAGUCAUUCUCUCACACUAGAAAAAUGCGUCUUCAUCUCAGUGCAGUGAAGAAAAGUAUUUCUGGCCUCCAUCUGAACAAUUAAUAGUUAUGCCAGUAUCUCUGAGGCUCCUAGGGGGUUAGUCUUCCCUAAUAAUUUUCAGGUCUCUUCCAGUAUUCCAAAACAGGCCUAAAAUCCUUAUCUGGAUCUCCUGUUUAACCAGUGAUUACUUGCAACUCUGGGCAUGUUUCUCCUAUUCCUUUCCCACUGGCCUGUGCAUUCACGUCUAUAAACCUACUGAAACGCACAAUGAAUGUAAGAACUGUAAUUAUGUGACUAUAUUCUGCUGUAGCUUUGCCACUGUAAUUCUCCUUGUUCUCCCUUUCCCAGGGACAGUUUAAAAUAAGUUACUUUAAAGAAGAA
Pezoporus occidentalis (night parrot) is the source of this 2384-nucleotide long non-coding RNA. RefSeq lists it as uncharacterized. The record is from RefSeq and is a predicted model, not a curated record. Lineage: Eukaryota; Metazoa; Chordata; Aves; Psittaciformes; Psittacidae. The transcript is spliced from 2 exons.